GGGAAUGCGCAGCUACCAUGCAGUCGAGCGGUAACAGAGAGUAUCUUGCUACUCUGCUGACGAGCGGCGGACGGGUGAGUAAUGCUUGGGAAUGUACCUUAUGGUGGGGGACAACAGUUGGAAACGACUGCUAAUACCGCAUAAUGUCUUCGGACCAAAGCGGGGGACCUUCGGGCCUCGCGCCAUAAGAUCAGCCCAAGUGGGAUUAGCUAGUUGGUGAGGUAAUGGCUCACCAAGGCGACGAUCCCUAGCUGGUUUGAGAGGAUGAUCAGCCACACUGGGACUGAGACACGGCCCAGACUCCUACGGGAGGCAGCAGUGGGGAAUAUUGCACAAUGGGCGCAAGCCUGAUGCAGCCAUGCCGCGUGUGUGAAGAAGGCCUUCGGGUUGUAAAGCACUUUCAGUAAGGAGGAAAGGUUGGAUGUUAAUAGCAUUCAGCUGUGACGUUACUUACAGAAGAAGCACCGGCUAACUCCGUGCCAGCAGCCGCGGUAAUACGGAGGGUGCGAGCGUUAAUCGGAAUUACUGGGCGUAAAGCGUACGCAGGCGGUUUGUUAAGCGAGAUGUGAAAGCCCCGGGCUCAACCUGGGAACUGCAUUUCGAACUGGCAAACUAGAGUGUGAUAGAGGGUGGUAGAAUUUCAGGUGUAGCGGUGAAAUGCGUAGAGAUCUGAAGGAAUACCGAUGGCGAAGGCAGCCACCUGGGUCAACACUGACGCUCAUGUACGAAAGCGUGGGGAGCAAACAGGACUAGAUACCC
This 759-nucleotide ribosomal RNA is filed under the name Pseudoalteromonas sp. Its description in RNAcentral is "bacterial SSU rRNA". It matches the Rfam family "Bacterial small subunit ribosomal RNA", at positions 38 to 787 of the family's 1533-position model. Lineage: Bacteria; Pseudomonadati; Pseudomonadota; Gammaproteobacteria; Alteromonadales; Pseudoalteromonadaceae. The record is from RNAcentral.